RNAcentral lists this ribosomal RNA (717 nucleotides) under uncultured bacterium. Its description in RNAcentral is "bacterial SSU rRNA". It matches the Rfam family "Bacterial small subunit ribosomal RNA", at positions 28 to 740 of the family's 1533-position model. The record is from RNAcentral.
AUUUUACGCGGCGGAAUGCUUUACACAUGCAAGUCGAACGGCAGCACGGGGGCAACCCUGGUGGCGAGUGGCGAACGGGUGAGUAAUAUAUCGGAACGUGCCCAGUCGUGGGGGAUAACGUAGCGAAAGUUACGCUAAUACCGCAUACGAUCUACGGAUGAAAGCGGGGGAUCGCAAGACCUCGCGCGAUUGGAGCGGCCGAUAUCAGAUUAGGUAGUUGGUGAGGUAAAGGCUCACCAAGCCAACGAUCUGUAGCUGGUCUGAGAGGACGACCAGCCACACUGGGACUGAGACACGGCCCAGACUCCUACGGGAGGCAGCAGUGGGGAAUUUUGGACAAUGGGCGCAAGCCUGAUCCAGCCAUUCCGCGUGCAGGACGAAGGCCUUCGGGUUGUAAACUGCUUUUGUACGGAACGAAAAAGCCUUGGCUAAUACCCAGGGUCCAUGACGGUACCGUAAGAAUAAGCACCGGCUAACUACGUGCCAGCAGCCGCGGUAAUACGUAGGGUGCAAGCGUUAAUCGGAAUUACUGGGCGUAAAAGCGUGCGCAGGCGGUUAUAUAAGACAGAUGUGAAAUCCCCGGGCUCAACCUGGGAACUGCAUUUGUGACUGUAUAGCUAGAGUGCGGCAGAGGGGGAUGGAAUUCCGCGUGUAGCAGUGAAAUGCGUAGAUAUGCGGAGGAACACCGAUGGCGAAGGCAAUCCCCUGGGCCUGCAC